Molecule: small RNA, 127 nt
Filed under: Marmota monax (woodchuck)
Lineage: Eukaryota; Metazoa; Chordata; Mammalia; Rodentia; Sciuridae
Source: RNAcentral
GUCAGGUAUGGUGGCACACACCUGUAAUCCCAGAUACUUGGGAGGCUGAGGCAGGAGGAUUGCAGGUUCAAAGCCAGCCUCAGCAACUUAUCAAGGUCCUAAGCCACUUAGCAAAACCCUGCCUCAA